Molecule: ribosomal RNA, 492 nt
Filed under: uncultured bacterium
Lineage: Bacteria
Description: partial 16S ribosomal RNA
Rfam family: Bacterial small subunit ribosomal RNA
Source: RNAcentral
AGUGAACGCUGGCGGUAGGCCUAACACAUGCAAGUCGAACGGCAGCACAGUAAGAGCUUGCUCUUACGGGUGGCGAGUGGCGGACGGGUGAGGAAUACAUCGGAAUCUACUUUUUCGUGGGGGAUAACGUAGGGAAACUUACGCUAAUACCGCAUACGACCUACGGGUGAAAGCAGGGGAUCUUCGGACCUUGCGCGAUUGAAUGAGCCGAUGUCGGAUUAGCUAGUUGGCGGGGUAAAGGCCCACCAAGGCGACGAUCCGUAGCUGGUCUGAGAGGAUGAUCAGCCACACUGGGACUGAGACACGGUCCAGACCCCUACGGCAGGAAGCAGUGGGGAAUAUUGGACAAUGGGCGCAAGCCUGAUCCAGCCAUCCCGCGUGGGUGAAGAAGGCCUUCGGGUUGUAAAGCCCUUUUGUUGGGAAAGAAAAGAAGCAGGUUAAUACCCCGCUGUUCUGACGGUACCCAAAGAAUAAGCACCGGCUAACUUCGUG